RNAcentral lists this ribosomal RNA (508 nucleotides) under uncultured bacterium. RNAcentral's name for it is "partial 16S ribosomal RNA". It matches the Rfam family "Bacterial small subunit ribosomal RNA", at positions 28 to 507 of the family's 1533-position model. The record is from RNAcentral.
GACGAACGCUGGCGGCGUGCCUAAUACAUGCAAGUCGAACGCUUCUUUCCUCCCGAGUGCUUGCACUCAAUUGGAAAGAGGAGUGGCGGACGGGUGAGUAACACGUGGGUAACCUACCCAUCAGAGGGGGAUAACACUUGGAAACAGGUGCUAAUACCGCAUAACAGUUUAUGCCGCAUGGCAUAAGAGUGAAAGGCGCUUUCGGGUGUCGCUGAUGGAUGGACCCGCGGUGCAUUAGCUAGUUGGUGAGGUAACGGCUCACCAAGGCCACGAUGCAUAGCCGACCUGAGAGGGUGAUCGGCCACACUGGGACUGAGACACGGCCCAGACUCCUACGGGAGGCAGCAGUAGGGAAUCUUCGGCAAUGGACGAAAGUCUGACCGAGCAACGCCGCGUGAGUGAAGAAGGUUUUCGGAUCGUAAAACUCUGUUGUUAGAGAAGAACAAGGACGUUAGUAACUGAACGUCCCCUGACGGUGUCUAACCAGAAAGCCACGGCUAACUACGUG